CAGGUAACAACUCUUGACCUGAUAGGUAAGUAUACAGGAGGAAACAGGACGGGAGGCAGAGGAUCAAGCUCCAGGAGAGGGACAGGCUGAGCAGCAGUGGGAGAGAAAAACACUAGGAGAAGACAACCAGAAGUUGGGGCUGGAUCAAGUCUUUGUUCUGUCAUUGACGUGUAACAUUCUACAAAAGGCCUGAUCAGCACUGUCAAGAUUAUCUAAAAGAAGGAACUUCUGAGAAAUGGUCACAGUCAAGAGGAACCUAAGGAGCCAUGAGCAAUAAAUGUCAUGCAGGAUCUUGGAUAUGACUCUGGAGCAGAACAAGGA
Zalophus californianus (California sea lion) is the source of this 321-nucleotide long non-coding RNA. RefSeq lists it as uncharacterized. The record is from RefSeq and is a predicted model, not a curated record. NCBI's taxonomy places the organism in Eukaryota, Metazoa, Chordata, Mammalia, Carnivora, Otariidae. The transcript has 3 exons.